RNAcentral lists this ribosomal RNA (253 nucleotides) under uncultured bacterium. RNAcentral describes it as "partial 16S ribosomal RNA". It matches the Rfam family "Bacterial small subunit ribosomal RNA", at positions 524 to 776 of the family's 1533-position model. The record is from RNAcentral.
UACGGAGGGUGCAAGCGUUGCUCGGAAUUAUUGGGCGUAAAGGGCAAGUAGGUGGUCUCAUUUGUCUGGGGUGAAAGCCUUGAGCUUAACUCAAGAAGUGCCCCAGAAACGGUGAGACUAGAGUAUCGGAGAGGUCAGUGGAAUACCCGGUGUAGCGGUGAAAUGCGUAGAGAUCGGGUGGAACACCAGAGGCGAAGGCGGCUGACUGGACGAUUACUGACACUCAAUUGCGAAAGCGUGGGGAGCAAACAGG